RNAcentral lists this ribosomal RNA (435 nucleotides) under uncultured bacterium. Its description in RNAcentral is "partial 16S ribosomal RNA". It matches the Rfam family "Bacterial small subunit ribosomal RNA", at positions 28 to 507 of the family's 1533-position model. The record is from RNAcentral.
GAUGAACGCUGGCGGUAUGCUUAACACAUGCAAGUCGAACGGACUCUUCGGAGUUAGUGGCGGACGGGUGAGUAACGCGUGAGAAUCUGGCUUUGGGUUCGGGACAACCACUGGAAACGGUGGCUAAUACCGGAUGUGCCGAGAGGUAAAAGAGAAAUUGCCUGAAGAUGAGCUCGCGUCUGGUUAGCUAGUUGGUGAGGUAAAGGCUCACCAAGGCAGCGAUCAGUAGCUGGUCUGAGAGGAUGACCAGCCACACUGGGACUGAGACACGGCCCAGACUCCUACGGGAGGAAGCAGUGGGGAAUUUUCCGCAAUGGGCGAAAGCCUGACGGAGCAAUACCGCGUGAGGGAAGAAGGCUCUUGGGUUGUAAACCUCUUUUCUUAGGGAAGAACAAAAUGACGGUACCUAAGGAAUCAGCAUCGGCUAACUCCGUG